RNAcentral lists this ribosomal RNA (253 nucleotides) under uncultured bacterium. RNAcentral's name for it is "partial 16S ribosomal RNA". It matches the Rfam family "Bacterial small subunit ribosomal RNA", at positions 524 to 776 of the family's 1533-position model. The record is from RNAcentral.
UACGUAGGGCGCAGGCGUUAAUCGGAAUUACUGGGCGUAAAGCGUGCGCAGGCGGUUUCUUAAGUCAGAUGUGAAAGCCCCGGGCUUAACCUGGGAACUGCGUUUGAAACUGGGAGACUUGAGUGUGGCAGAGGGGGGUGGAAUUCCACGUGUAGCAGUGAAAUGCGUAGAUAUGUGGAGGAACACCGAUGGCGAAGGCAGCCCCCUGGGUUAACACUGACGCUCAUGCACGAAAGCGUGGGGAGCAAACAGG